GAUGAACGCUAGCGGCAGGCUUAACACAUGCAAGUCGAGGGGUAACGACGUUUUCGGACGGGCGACGACCGGCGCACGGGUGCGUAACGCGUAUGCAACCUACCUAUUACAGGGGGAUAGCCCCGAGAAAUCGGGAUUAAUACCGCAUAACAUAUUUGGAAGGCAUCUUUUAGAUAUUAAAGAUUUAUUGGUAAUAGAUGGGCAUGCGUAACAUUAGCUAGUUGGUAGAGUAACGGUUUACCAAGGCGAUGAUGUUUAGGGGUUCUGAGAGGAAUUUCCCCCACACUGGUACUGAGACACGGACCAGACUCCUACGGGAGGCAGCAGUGAGGAAUAUUGGUCAAUGGGCGAGAGCCUGAACCAGCCAUGCCGCGUGCAGGAAGACGGCCUUAUGGGUUGUAAACUGCUUUUAUAUAGGAGUAAUGGCACCUACGAGUUAGGUGUUUGCAAGUACUAUAUGAAUAAGCAUCGGCUAACUCCGUGCCAGCAGCCGCGGUAAUACGGAGGAUGCAAGCGUUAUCCGGAAUCAUUGGGUUUAAAGGGUUCGCAGGCGGCGUAUUAAGUCAGUGGUGAAAUACCGAGGCUCAACCUCGGGGCUGCCAUUGAUACUGAUAUGCUAGAGUAUAGUUGGCGUAGGCGGAAUAUUUCAUGUAGCGGUGAAAUGCAUAGAUAUGAAAUAGAACACCGAUCGCGCAGGCAGCUUACGAAGCUAUAACUGACGCUCAUGAACGAAAGCGUGGGUAGCGAACAGGAUUAGAUACCCUGGUAGUCCACGCAGUAAACGAUGAUUACUCGUUGUCGGCGAUACAAUGUCGGUGGCUAAGCGAAAGUGAUAAGUAAUCCACCUGGGGAGUACGAUCGCAAGGUUGAAACUCAAAGGAAUUGACGGGGGCCCGCACAAGCGGAGGAGCAUGUGGUUUAAUUCGAUGAUACGCGAGGAACCCUUACCCGGGCUUAAAUGUAGGAUGCAUUAUUUGGAGACAGAUAUUUCUUCGGACUUCCUACAAGGUGCUGCAUGGUUGUCGUCAGCUCGUGCCGUGAGGUGUCGGGUUAAGUCCCAUAACGAGCGCAACCCUUACCGUUAUUUGCCAUCAGGUUAAGCUGGGGACUAUAGCGGAACUGCCUACGCAAGUAGAGAGGAAGGUGGGGAUGACGUCAAAAUCAGCACGGCCCUUACGUCCGGGGCUACACACGUGCUACAAUGGUCGGUACAGAGGGCAGCAAACCUGGCGACAGGGAGCGAAUCUCGAAAAGCCGAAUCUCAGUUCGGAAUCGGAGUUCUGUAACUCGAACUCCGUGAAAGUUGGAUUCGCUAGUAAUCGCGCAUUCAGCCAUGGCGCGGGUGAAAUACGUUCCCGGGCCU
Molecule: ribosomal RNA, 1363 nt
Filed under: uncultured bacterium
Lineage: Bacteria
Description: bacterial SSU rRNA
Rfam family: Bacterial small subunit ribosomal RNA
Source: RNAcentral